RNAcentral lists this ribosomal RNA (253 nucleotides) under uncultured bacterium. RNAcentral's name for it is "partial 16S ribosomal RNA". It matches the Rfam family "Bacterial small subunit ribosomal RNA", at positions 524 to 776 of the family's 1533-position model. The record is from RNAcentral.
GACGAACCGUCCUAACGUUGUUCGGAAUCACUGGGCUUAAAGGGCGCGUAGGCGGCUUGCCAAGUCAGGGGUGAAAUCCUGCAGCUUAACUGUAGAAGGGCCUUUGAUACUGGCAAGCUCGAGGGAGGUAGGGGUAUGUGGAACUUCCGGUGGAGCGGUGAAAUGCGUUGAUAUCGGAAGGAACGCCGGUGGCGAAAGCGACGUACUGGACCUCUUCUGACGCUGAGGAGCGAAAGCGUGGGGAGCGAACAGG